ACGCACGACCACAGACUGAGGAGUAUGGGGCAUCCCGUCCGCUCUGCCAUUUACAAGCCUCAGAUCGGCAGGUUAGUAGUUGGGUAGGUGACCACCAGCGAAUACCUGCAGUUGUAUGUU
RNAcentral lists this ribosomal RNA (120 nucleotides) under Drepanopeziza brunnea f. sp. 'multigermtubi' MB_m1. The record is from RNAcentral. Lineage: Eukaryota; Fungi; Ascomycota; Leotiomycetes; Helotiales; Drepanopezizaceae.